RNAcentral lists this long non-coding RNA (409 nucleotides) under Mytilus galloprovincialis (Mediterranean mussel). Lineage: Eukaryota; Metazoa; Mollusca; Bivalvia; Mytilida; Mytilidae. The record is from RNAcentral.
UCUUGUCAUCAAGAGAGGUUAUAAACUGAAAAGUGAUACACUUAGUUUUAACCAGCACGAUGUAGGUGUACUAGCUUAAGAAGGUUAGUUAGUUUGUUUUGUUCUAUAUAUCACCCGAAAAGAGAUAAAAUAUGUUUUAUCAUUAUAGCUUACUCUCUUUUACUUUAAAAAAAAUACUAUUCAAUGGACGCACUUCUAAAUGACUAUACCACGUCAGUGUGAAUUGCAAAUGAGACAAAUCCAACAAUCAGAUAUAAACAUGAAUGUCCACGGAUUGCGUAUGUUAUCCAACUCCAUGACGCAGGACAAUUUUUAAUAGAAAACAUUAUUUAAAAAAAUAACAAAAAGAAAAAAAGAAUGGAUGUCUUCUAUAGUAUAUGCUAUUAUCAACCAUAACUUUAUAGAGAUG